RNA transcript from Zingiber officinale, 1655 nucleotides. It is a transcript of the gene named serine/arginine-rich-splicing factor SR34-like, with no coding region annotated. The transcript has 15 exons. The record is from RefSeq and is a predicted model, not a curated record. Lineage: Eukaryota; Viridiplantae; Streptophyta; Magnoliopsida; Zingiberales; Zingiberaceae.
UGCGCGAUGGUUAAACACGGGCUGACUGAACCGUGCUAUGCUUCGCCCGCGGGCACUGGAUACCUAAAUUUCUAGGUCUCUAAUCCAACCCAACGCCAGAAAAGAAAACCCUGGACAUCGGUGGCUGAAACCGAGCCGUCUUUACCCUCGCCAAGGAAUCAUGAGUAAGCGAUACAGUCGAACGAUCUAUGUUGGCAAUCUCCCUGGCGACAUUCGUGAAAGAGAGGUGGAAGAUCUGUUCUGCAAGUAUGGAACGAUCAUUGAUGUUGAUCUAAAGAUUCCUCCAAGGCCUCCAGGGUAUGCAUUUGUUGAGUUUGAAGAUCCUCGUGACGCUGAAGAUGCUAUUCGUGGCCGUGAUGGAUAUAAAUUUGAUGGUCAAAGAUUACGGGUGGAACUUGCUCAUGGUGGAAGGGGCCAAUCUUCAUCGCUUGAUAAGCACAGCAGCUACAGUAGUGCAGGUCGACGUGGCGGUGUUUCCAGGCGCACAGAGUAUCGUGUUAUGGUCACUGGUUUACCCUCCUCGGCAUCAUGGCAAGACUUGAAGGACCAUAUGCGCCGAGCCGGUGAUGUCUGCUUUUCUGAAGUUUUUCGUGAUGGUGGUGGUACUGUUGGUAUUGUAGAUUAUACAAACUACGACGAUAUGAAAUAUGCAAUCAAGAAGCUUGAUGACUCUGAGUUUCGGAAUGCAUUUUCACGGGCGUAUAUAAGAGUGAAGGAGUAUGAUUCCAAAAGAAGCUUAUCUAGGAGUCGAAGUCGUAGCCGUUCAUAUUCAAAAAGUGCAAGUAGCCGUAGCAGAAGCAAGUCUCCAAGGGCAAAGUCAUCACGCCGUUCGUUGUCUAAAUCUCGAUCUAGAUCUGUAUCUUCUCGUUCUCACUCAGCAUCUAAAGGACAUUCUGUAUCAAGAUUUGGGCCUAAGCAGGGAUCUCUGGAUCGGAUAAUAGGAUCUGGAUUGGAUUGGGUGCAAAUGGUUGCAACUGUUUCAUUGUUGUAAGAGAGGAAUGGUUGCAAUAGCAAGCCGGAUUACUCAAUAAGCUAAAUGGAUUUGGCCCUCAUUGGACAAGUGCUAGGAACAACUUUUGUCCCUCCAUUUUCUCAAUACUAUAAGCUGCAAUCAAGAUUCUGGAUAUAGCUUUCCUUGAUCUCGAUCGCGAUCCAGAUCUCCAGUUAAUUCUGUAAGUUGGAAUUACAUUAUUAUUCAUCUUCAUGUUUACAUUAUUUCAACCGAACUGUAUAUCCACAGCCUGCUAAUGGCAAACCUGCAAGCAAAAGCCCAGUUAAGCUUAGUCUGAACAAGAGCCAAAGUCUCUCUCGUUCUCCUUCUCCUGCGGUGAAAUCGGAUUAGAACCCUCUUUGUAAGGAACCUGCGGACAUACUGAUUGGAAUUAGUUCAGCAGAUUCAAUUAGAUAAAACUUCGAUUCGGCAUUCUUAGCACCAGCAGUACUUUUUUGGGUUGCUCCAAAUUCUGUUCAAUGUAGUACCCUUGUCUAAGCUGAUGUAUUAUUGGGGGCCAAGGCUUGUGGUUGAAUGAUUGUGAGCUGUAGUUUGUUUGGAUUAUUGACUCUAUAACUUCCUAUCCUUUACAUGACACAAUUCAACAUUAUGACUUUAAAUCCGAUACAUUAUUGUCUUGUGACUUGGAGGUCACUAAUUUUAA